GUUCGCGUUGGGACUUCGAGGGCUGUACUUUGAACUGUGCCGCCGCUAAACUACACCGAAAAGAAAUGGCAUCCGAUGAGGGGAAAUUAUUUGUUGGUGGACUCAGUUUUGACACCAAUGAACAAUCACUCGAGCAAGUUUUUUCUAAAUACGGACAGAUAUCUGAAGUUGUUGUUGUAAAAGACAGAGAAACCCAGAGAUCCAGAGGGUUUGGCUUUGUAACUUUUGAGAACAUUGAUGAUGCAAAAGAUGCGAUGAUGGCCAUGAAUGGGAAGUCUGUUGAUGGCCGCCAGAUCAGAGUUGAUCAAGCAGGCAAGUCCUCUGAUAACCGGUCUCGUGGAUAUAGAGGGGGAUCAGCUGGAGGCAGAGGCUUUUUCCGUGGAGGCCGAGGUAGAGGUCGUGGAUUCUCCAGAGGUACUGGAGACAGAGGUUAUGGGGGCAGCAGAUUUGAAUCUAGAAGUGGGGGAUACAGUGGAUCCAGAGACUAUUAUGGAAGCAGCAGAAGUCAAGGAAGUUAUGGAGACAGGCCUUCAGGAGGAUCCUAUAGAGACAGUUAUGACAGUUACGGUUGAUGGAAGAGAUGGACACUUGAGCCGGAAAUGGAUGUUUCAACGCUGAGGACCAAAGUCUUAACUGAAACCAUCAGCUUUGCACACAACAGCUGCAUGUUUCUUGGAAGAGGAUCGACCAGGAUCAUGGCAAUUCUGAAGGAAAACAGGAUUGUGAAUUAGAAUGCUCUGAGUGACCCGAGGACAUGUACAAAACUUAAUAAAACAAUAGGGCUAAAAACA
RNA transcript from Protobothrops mucrosquamatus (brown spotted pit viper), 791 nucleotides. It is a transcript of the gene named cold inducible RNA binding protein, with no coding region annotated. The record is from RefSeq and is a predicted model, not a curated record. The transcript has 8 exons. Lineage: Eukaryota; Metazoa; Chordata; Lepidosauria; Squamata; Viperidae.